AGAACUUGAAACCGUGUGCUUACAAGUAGUCAGAGCCCGUUAAUGGGUGAUGGCGUGCCUUUUGUAGAAUGAACCGGCGAGUUACGAUCUGAUGCAAGGUUAAGCAGAAAAUGUGGAGCCGUAGCGAAAGCGAGUCUGAAUAGGGCGAAUGAGUAUUUGGUCGUAGACCCGAAACCAGGUGAUCUACCCUUGGUCAGGUUGAAGUUCAGGUAACACUGAAUGGAGGACCGAACCGACUUACGUUGAAAAGUGAGCGGAUGAACUGAGGGUAGCGGAGAAAUUCCAAUCGAACUUGGAGAUAGCUGGUUCUCUCCGAAAUAGCUUUAGGGCUAGCCUCAAGUGAUGAUUAUUGGAGGUAGAGCACUGUUUGGACGAGGGGCCCCUCUCGGGUUACCGAAUUCAGACAAACUCCGAAUGCCAAAUAAUUUAACUUGGGAGUCAGAAUGUGGGUGAUAAGGUCCAUAUUCGAAAGGGAAACAGCCCAGACCACCAGCUAAGGUCCCAAAAUAUAUGUUAAGUGGAAAAGGAUGUGGCGUUGCCCAGACAACUAGGAUGUUGGCUUAGAAGCAGCCAUCAUUUAAAGAGUGCGUAAUAGCUCACUAGUCGAG
This 608-nucleotide ribosomal RNA is filed under the name Staphylococcus pseudintermedius. Its description in RNAcentral is "partial 23S ribosomal RNA". It matches the Rfam family "Bacterial large subunit ribosomal RNA", at positions 545 to 1153 of the family's 2925-position model. The record is from RNAcentral. Lineage: Bacteria; Bacillati; Bacillota; Bacilli; Caryophanales; Staphylococcaceae.